This 440-nucleotide ribosomal RNA is filed under the name uncultured bacterium. RNAcentral's name for it is "partial 16S ribosomal RNA". It matches the Rfam family "Bacterial small subunit ribosomal RNA", at positions 338 to 795 of the family's 1533-position model. The record is from RNAcentral.
CCUACGGGAGGCUGCAGUAGGGAAUAUUGCUCAAUGGGGGAAACCCUGAAGCAGCAACGCCGCGUGGAGGAUGAAGGUUUUAGGAUUGUAAACUCCUUUUGUGAGAGAAGAUAAUGACUUUUUCUCACGAAUAAUCACCCGCUAACUCCUUUCCAGCUGCCGCAGGAAUACGGAGGGUGCAAUCUUUACUCGGAAUCACUGGGCGUAAAGAGUGCGCAGGCUGUCUUUUAAGUCAGAUGUGAAAUCCUGUAGGUUAAAUACAGUAAUGCAUUUGAAACUAUGAGUCUAGAGUGUGAGAGAGGUAGGUGGAAUUAUAGGUGUAGGGGUAAAAUCCGUAGAUAUAAAGAGGAAUACUCAUUGCGAAGGCGACCUACUGGAACAUUACUGACGCUGAUGCACGAAAGCGUGGGGAGCAAACAGGAUUAGAUACCCCUGUAGUC